UGGGGAAUAUUGCACAAUGGGCGCAAGCCUGAUGCAGCAACGCCGCGUGAACGAUGAAGGUCUUCGGAUCGUAAAGUUCUGUUGCAGAGGAAGAUAAUGACGGUACCCUGUGAGGAAGCCCCGGCUAACUACGUGCCAGCAGCCGCGGUAAUACGUAGGGGGCUAGCGUUAUCCGGAAUUAUUGGGUUUAAAGGGUGCGCAGGUGGCUAAUCAGGUCAGUGGUGAAAAGCUAUGGCUCAACCAUGGUCUUGCCAUUGAAACCGUAUAGCUAGAGAGGAGACGAGGUAGGCGGAAUGUGUGGUGUAGCGGUGAAAUGCAUAGAUAUCACACAGAACUCCGAUUGCGAAGGCAGCUUACCAGGCUUUAUCUGACACUUAGGCACGACAGCGUGGGGAUCAAACAGG
This 404-nucleotide ribosomal RNA is filed under the name Verrucomicrobiota bacterium. RNAcentral's name for it is "Verrucomicrobia bacterium partial 16S ribosomal RNA". It matches the Rfam family "Bacterial small subunit ribosomal RNA", at positions 355 to 776 of the family's 1533-position model. Lineage: Bacteria; Pseudomonadati; Verrucomicrobiota. The record is from RNAcentral.